CGGUUGAUCCUGCCGGAGGUCACUGCUAUUGGGAUUCGACUAAGCCAUGCGAGUCGAGAGGGUUCGGCCCUCGGCUGACGGCUCAGUAACACGUGGAUAAUCUGCCCUUAGGUGGAGGAUAAUCUCGGGAAACUGAGGAUAAUACUCCAUAGAUCUAGGAUGCUGGAAUGCAUCUAGAUUGAAAGCUCCGGCGCCUAAGGAUGAGUCUGCGGACUAUCAGGUUGUAGUCAGGGUAAAGACCUGACUAGCCUACGACGGAUACGGGUUGUGAGAGCAAUAACCCGGAGACGAUAUCUGAGACACGAUAUCGGGCCCUACGGGGCGCAGCAGGCGCGAAAACUUCACACUGUGCGAAAGCGCGAUGAGGGAAUCCCAAGUGUUUGCUCGUAAGAGUAAACUGUUUCUUUGUUUAAAACGCAGAGAGAGUAAGGGCUGGGUAAGACGGGUGCCAGCCGCCGCGGUAAUACCUGCAGCUCGAGUGGUGAUCAUUAUUAUUGGGCCUAAAACGUCCGUAGCCGGUUUAGUAAAUGCCUGGGUAAAUCGUGUAGCUUAACUAUACGACUUCCGGGUAGACUGCUAAACUUGAGACCGGGAGAGGCUAGAGGUACUCCUGGGGUAGAGGUGAAAUUCUGUAAUCCUAGGGGGACCACCAGUGGCGAAGGCGUCUAGCUAGAACGGGUCUGACGGUGAGGGACGAAGCCCUGGGGCACAAACCGGAUUAGAUACCCGGGUAGUCCAGGGUGUAAACGCUGCUUGCUUGAUGUUAGUUGGGCUCCGAGCCCAACUAGUGUCGGAGAGAAGUUGUUAAGCAAGCUGCCUGGGAAGUACGGUCGCAAGGCUGAAACUUAAAGGAAUUGGCGGGGGAGCAC
Molecule: ribosomal RNA, 869 nt
Filed under: uncultured archaeon
Lineage: Archaea
Description: bacterial SSU rRNA
Rfam family: Archaeal small subunit ribosomal RNA
Source: RNAcentral